ACCUUCGGGCCUCUUGCCAUCAGAUGUGCCCAGAUGGGAUUAGCUUGUUGGUGAGGUAACGGCUCACCAAGGCGACGAUCCCUAGCUGGUCUGAGAGGAUGACCAGCCACACUGGAACUGAGACACGGUCCAGACUCCUACGGGAGGCAGCAGUGGGGAAUAUUGCACAAUGGGCGCAAGCCUGAUGCAGCCAUGCCGCGUGUAUGAAGAAGGCCUUCGGGUUGUAAAGUACUUUCAGCGGGGAGGAAGGUGUUGUGGUUAAUAACCGCAGCAAUUGACGUUACCCGCAGAAGAAGCACCGGCUAACUCCGUGCCAGCAGCCGCGGUAAUACGGAGGGUGCAAGCGUUAAUCGGAAUUACUGGGCGUAAAGCGCACGCAGGCGGUCUGUCAAGUCGGAUGUGAAAUCCCCGGGCUCAACCUGGGAACUGCAUUCGAAACUGGCAGGCUUGAGUCUUGUAGAGGGGGGUAGAAUUCCAGGUGUAGCGGUGAAAUGCGUAGAGAUCUGGAGGAAUACCGGUGGCGAAGGCGGCCCCCUGGACAAAGACUGACGCUCAGGUGCGAAAGCGUGGGGAGCAAACAGGAUUAGAUACCCUGGUAGUCCACGCCGUAAACGAUGUCUACUUGGAGGUUGUGCCCUUGAGGCGUGGCUUCCGGAGCUAACGCGUUAAGUAGACCGCCUGGGGAGUACGGCCGCAAGGUUAAAACUCAAAUGAAUUGACGGGGGCCCGCACAAGCGGUGGAGCAUGUGGUUUAAUUCGAUGCAACGCGAAGAACCUUACCUGGUCUUGACAUCCACGGAAGUUUUCAGAGAUGAGAAUGUGCCUUCGGGAACCGUGAGACAGGUGCUGCAUGGCUGUCGUCAGCUCGUGUUGUGAAAUGUUGGGUUAAGUCCCGCAACGAGCGCAACCCUUAUCCUUUGUUGCCAGCGGUCCGGCCGGGAACUCAAAGGAGACUGCCAGUGAUAAACUGGAGGAAGGUGGGGAUGACGUCAAGUCAUCAUGGCCCUUACGACCAGGGCUACACACGUGCUACAAUGGCGCAUACAAAGAGAAGCGACCUCGCGAGAGCAAGCGGACCUCAUAAAGUGCGUCGUAGUCCGGAUUGGAGUCUGCAACUCGACUCCAUGAAGUCGGAAUCGCUAGUAAUCGUGGAUCAGAAUGCCACGGUGAAUACGUUCCCGGGCCUUGUACACACCGCCCGUCACACCAUGGGAGUGGGUUGCAAAAGAAGUAGGUAGCUUAACCUUCGGGAGGGCGCUUACCACUUUGUGAUUCAUGACUGGGGUGAAGUCGUAACAAGGUAACCGUAGGGGAACCUGCGGUUGGAUCACCUCCUUACC
Molecule: ribosomal RNA, 1340 nt
Filed under: Salmonella enterica subsp. enterica
Lineage: Bacteria; Pseudomonadati; Pseudomonadota; Gammaproteobacteria; Enterobacterales; Enterobacteriaceae
Also listed under: 1 other name
Description: bacterial SSU rRNA
Rfam family: Bacterial small subunit ribosomal RNA
Source: RNAcentral